RNAcentral lists this ribosomal RNA (793 nucleotides) under uncultured bacterium. Its description in RNAcentral is "bacterial SSU rRNA". It matches the Rfam family "Bacterial small subunit ribosomal RNA", at positions 696 to 1502 of the family's 1533-position model. The record is from RNAcentral.
AUGACGAAGAACCCCGAUUGCGAAGGCAGCUCGCGGGAGCGCAACUGACGCUGAAGCUCGAAAGUGCGGGUAUCGAACAGGAUUAGAUACCCUGGUAGUCCGCACGGUAAACGAUGGAUGCCCGCUUUUCGGUCAUAGGACCGUGAGGCCAAGUGAAAACAUUAAGCAUCCCACCUGGGGAGUACGCCGGCAACGGUGAAACUCAAAGGAAUUGACGGGGGCCCGCACAAGCGGAGGAACAUGUNNNNAAUUCGAUGAUACGCGAGGAACCUUACCCGGGCUUGAAUUGCAGAUGAAGGAUCCAGAGAUGGUGACGCCCUUCGGGGCAUCUGUGAAGGUGCUGCAUGGUUGUCGUCAGCUCGUGCCGUGAGGUGUCGGCUCAAGUGCCAUAACGAGCGCAACCCCUCUCUUCAGUUGCCAUCAGGUAAAGCUGGGCACUCUGGAGACACUGCCACCGCAAGGUGUGAGGAAGGUGGGGAUGACGUCAAAUCAGCACGGCCCUUACGUCCGGGGCUACACACGUGUUACAAUGGGGGGUACAGCAAGCCGGCUGCCCGCAAGGUCAGUCCAAUCAAGAAAGCCCUCCUCAGUUCGGACUGGGGUCUGCAACCCGACCCCACGAAGCUGGAUUCGCUAGUAAUCGCGCAUCAGCCAUGGCGCGGUGAAUACGUUCCCGGGCCUUGUACACACCGCCCGUCAAGCCAUGAAAGCCGGGGGUGCCUGAAGUCCGUGACCGCAAGGAUCGGCCUAGGGCAAAACUGGUAAUUGGGGCUAAGUCGUAACAAGGUAGCCG